GACGAACGCUGGCGGCGUGCUUAACACAUGCAAGUGGAGCGACGAACCGGGGGCUUGCCCCGGGGCAGAGCCGCGAACGGGUGAGUAACACGUGGGUAACCCACCCCGAUGACCGGGACAACCCGAGGAAACUCGGGCUAAUACCGGAUGUGCUCCUUGACCUCGAGGUCAAGGCGUAAAGAUAGCUUCGGCCUUCGCAUCGGGACGGGCCCGCGGCCCAUUAGCUUGUUGGUGGGGUAAAGGCCUACCAAGGCGACGANGGGUAGCUGGUCUGAGAGGACGAUCAGCCACACUGGGACUGAGACACGGCCCAGACUCCUACGGGAGGCAGCAGUGGGGAAUCUUGCGCAAUGCGCGAAAGCGUGACGCAGCAACGCCGCGUGGGGGAAGACGGCC
This 396-nucleotide ribosomal RNA is filed under the name uncultured bacterium. RNAcentral describes it as "bacterial SSU rRNA". It matches the Rfam family "Bacterial small subunit ribosomal RNA", at positions 28 to 416 of the family's 1533-position model. The record is from RNAcentral.